Molecule: ribosomal RNA, 253 nt
Filed under: uncultured bacterium
Lineage: Bacteria
Description: partial 16S ribosomal RNA
Rfam family: Bacterial small subunit ribosomal RNA
Source: RNAcentral
UACGAAGGGGGCUAGCGUUGUUCGGAAUUACUGGGCGUAAAGAGCUCGUAGGCGGUUUGUCGCGUCUGCUGUGAAAUCCCGAGGCUCAACCUCGGGCCUGCAGUGGGUACGGGCAGACUGGAGUGCGGUAGGGGAGAAUGGAAUUCCUGGUGUAGCGGUGGAAUGCGCAGAUAUCAGGAGGAACACCGGUGGCGAAGGCGGAUCUCUGGGCCAUUACUGACGCUGAGGAGCGAAAGCGUGGGGAGCGAACAGG